AUUGAACGCUGGCGGCAGGCCUAACACAUGCAAGUCGAACGAGUGGCGGACGGGUGAGUAAUGUCUGGGAAACUGCCCGAUGGAGGGGGAUAACUACUGGAAACGGUAGCUAAUACCGCAUACCAUCGGAUGUUCCCAGAUGGGAUUAGCUAGUAGGUGGGGUAACGGCUCACCUAGGCGACGAUCCCUAGCUGGUCUGAGAGGAGGACGAGCCACACUGGAACUGAGACACGGUCCAGAAUCCGACGGGAGGCAGAAGUGGGGAAGAUUGCACAAUGGGCGCAAGCCUGAUGCAGCCAUGCCGCGUGUAUGAAGAAGGCCUUCGGGUUGUAAAGUAAUUUCAGCGAGGAGGCGUUACUCGAAGAAGAAGCACCGGAUAACUCCGUGCCAGCAGCCGAGGUAAUUC
Molecule: ribosomal RNA, 406 nt
Filed under: uncultured bacterium
Lineage: Bacteria
Description: partial 16S ribosomal RNA
Rfam family: Bacterial small subunit ribosomal RNA
Source: RNAcentral